CCCGCCCCUAGAGGCAGUGCAGGUGUGGCUGCUGUGCCACAUGUGCAUCAGUAGGUGGCAGAGAGGAGAAAGGCUAUGUCUGGUCAUCUGACCUGUGACCAGAAAUGAUUAUGGACGGGCUAAUAUG
This 127-nucleotide small nucleolar RNA is filed under the name Mus spicilegus (steppe mouse). Its description in RNAcentral is "Small nucleolar RNA SNORA17 (ENSMSIG00000001986.1)". It matches the Rfam family "Small nucleolar RNA SNORA17". Rfam says of the family: snoRNA ACA 17 belongs to the H/ACA family of snoRNAs and is predicted to guide pseudouridylation of the 28S rRNA at positions U4659 and U4598. The record is from Rfam by way of RNAcentral. Lineage: Eukaryota; Metazoa; Chordata; Mammalia; Rodentia; Muridae.